AUUGAACGCUGGCGGCAGGCCUAACACAUGCAAGUCGAGCGGAAGAAGGGAGCUUGCUCCUGGAUUCAGCGGCGGACGGGCGAGUAAUGCCUAGGAAUCUGCCUGUCUGCUUUUGAGAACGUGCUGACACGGGCGCAAAUACCGCAUACGUCCUGAGGGAGAAAGGGGGGGAGCUUCGGACCUUACGCUAUCAGAUGAGCCUAGGUCGGAUUGGCUAGUUGGUGGGGUAAAGGCCUACCAAGGCGACGAUCCGUAACUGGUCUGAGAGGAUGAUCAGUCACACUGGAACUGAGACACGGUCCAGACUCCUACGGGAGGCAGCAGUGGGGAAUAUUGGACAAUGGGCGCAAGCCUGAUCCAGCCAUGCCGCGUGUGUGAAGAAGGUCUUCGGGUUGUAAAGCACUUUUAGUGGGGAAGAAGGGCAGUAAGUUAAUACCUUGCUGUUUUGACGUUACCAACAGAAUAAGCACCGGCUAACUUCGUG
Molecule: ribosomal RNA, 484 nt
Filed under: uncultured bacterium
Lineage: Bacteria
Description: partial 16S ribosomal RNA
Rfam family: Bacterial small subunit ribosomal RNA
Source: RNAcentral